CGGUGAAGCCCAGCUUGCUGGGUGGAUCAGUGGCGAACGGGUGAGUAACACGUGAGUAACCUGCCCCUGACUCUGGGAUAAGCCUUGGAAACGAGGUCUAAUACCGGAUAUGUGACGUUCAGGCAUCUGAUGCGUCUGGAAAGAUUUAUCGGUCAGGGAUGGACUCGCGGCCUAUCAGCUUGUUGGUGGGGUAACGGCCUACCAAGGCGACGACGGGUAGCCGGCCUGAGAGGGCGACCGGCCACACUGGGACUGAGACACGGCCCAGACUCCUACGGGAGGCAGCAGUGGGGAAUAUUGCACAAUGGGCGCAAGCCUGAUGCAGCGACGCCGCGUGAGGGAUGAAGGCCUUCGGGUUGUAAACCUCUUUCAGCAGGGAAGAAGCGCAAGUGACGGUACCUGCAGAAGAAGCGCCGGCUAACUACGUGCCAGCAGCCGCGGUAAUACGUAGGGCGCAAGCGUUGUCCGGAAUUAUUGGGCGUAAAGAGCUCGUAGGCGGUUUGUCGCGUCUGCUGUGAAAACUCGAGGCUCAACCUCGGGCUUGCAGUGGGUACGGGCAGACUAGAGUGCGGUAGGGGAGACUGGAAUUCCUGGUGUAGCGGUGGAAUGCGCAGAUAUCAGGAGGAACACCGAUGGCGAAGGCAGGUCUCUGGGCCGCAACUGACGCUGAGGAGCGAAAGCAUGGGGAGCGAACAGGAUUAGAUACCCUGGUAGUCCAUGCCGUAAACGUUGGGCACUAGGUGUGGGGCUCAUUCCACGAGUUCCGUGCCGCAGCAAACGCAUUAAGUGCCCCGCCUGGGGAGUACGGCCGCAAGGCUAAAACUCAAAGAAAUUGACGGGGGCCCGCACAAGCGGCGGA
This 859-nucleotide ribosomal RNA is filed under the name Cellulomonas sp. A7. RNAcentral describes it as "bacterial SSU rRNA". It matches the Rfam family "Bacterial small subunit ribosomal RNA", at positions 67 to 936 of the family's 1533-position model. The record is from RNAcentral. Lineage: Bacteria; Bacillati; Actinomycetota; Actinomycetes; Micrococcales; Cellulomonadaceae.